This 458-nucleotide ribosomal RNA is filed under the name uncultured bacterium. Its description in RNAcentral is "partial 16S ribosomal RNA". It matches the Rfam family "Bacterial small subunit ribosomal RNA", at positions 29 to 507 of the family's 1533-position model. The record is from RNAcentral.
AGCGAACGCUGGCGGCAGGCCUAACACAUGCAAGUCGAACGAACUCUUCGGAGUUAGUGGCGGCCGGGUGAGUAACACGUGGGAACGUGCCUUUUGGUUCCGCAUAACUCUGGGAAACUUGUGCUAACAUCGAAUGUGUCCUUCGGGGGACCGAUUUAUCGCCAUUAGAGCGGCCCGUGUCUGUUGGGCUUGUUGGUGGGGUAACGGCUCACGAAGGCGAGGCUCAGUAGCUGGUCUGAGAGGCUGCUAAGCCACACUGGGACUGAGACACGGCCGAGACUCCUGCGGUAGGAAGCAGCGGGGAAUACUAGGCAAUGGGGGAGAGGAUGAUCCAGCGAAAUCGAGUGAGUGCAGAAGGAGUUCGGCUUGUAAAGCCAUGUUGUUGGGAGAGAAAAGCAGUAGUUUCAUACGCGGCUGUAAUGACGGUACCCGGAGAAGAAGCACCGGCUAACUUCGUG